GAUGAACGCUGGCGGCGUGCCUAAUACAUGCAAGUCGAGCGAACAGACGAGGAGCUUGCUCCUCUGACGUUAGCGGCGGACGGGUGAGUAACACGUGGAUAACCUACCUAUAAGACUGGGAUAACUUCGGGAAACCGGAGCUAAUACCGGAUAAUAUAUUGAACCGCAUGGUUCAAUAGUGAAAGACGGUUUUGCUGUCACUUAUAGAUGGAUCCGCGCCGCAUUAGCUAGUUGGUAAGGUAACGGCUUACCAAGGCAACGAUGCGUAGCCGACCUGAGAGGGUGAUCGGCCACACUGGAACUGAGACACGGUCCAGACUCCUACGGGAGGCAGCAGUAGGGAAUCUUCCGCAAUGGGCGAAAGCUUGACGGAGCAACGCCGCGUGAGUGAUGAAGGUCUUCGGAUCGUAAAACUCUGUUAUUAGGGAAGAACAAAUGUGUAAGUAACUAUGCACGUCUUGACGGUACCUAAUCAGAAAGCCACGGCUAACUAC
Molecule: ribosomal RNA, 494 nt
Filed under: uncultured bacterium
Lineage: Bacteria
Description: partial 16S ribosomal RNA
Rfam family: Bacterial small subunit ribosomal RNA
Source: RNAcentral